CCUACGGGAGACAGCAGUGGGGAAUAUUGCACAAUGGGCGCAAGCCUGAUGCAGCGACGCCGCGUGCGGGAUGGAGGCCUUCGGGUUGUAAACCGCUUUUGUUCAAGGGCAAGGCACGGUCUUUGUCCGUGUUGCGUGGAUUGUUCGAAUAAGCACCGGCUAACUACGUGCCAGCAGCCGCGGUAAUACGUAGGGUGCAAGCGUUAUCCGGAUUUAUUGGGUUUAAAGGGUGCGUAGGCGGAAUGCCACGUCAGCGGUAAAAUCGCGGGGCUCAACCUCGCUCCGCCGUUGAAACUGGCGUUCUUGAGUGGGCGAGAAGUAUGCGGAAUGCGUGGUGUAGCGGUGAAAUGCAUAGAUAUCACGCAGAACUCCGAUUGCGAAGGCAGCAUACCGGCGCCCAACUGACGCUGAAGCACGAAAGCGUGGGUAUCGAACAGGAUUAGAUACCCCAGUAGUC
This 457-nucleotide ribosomal RNA is filed under the name uncultured bacterium. Its description in RNAcentral is "partial 16S ribosomal RNA". It matches the Rfam family "Bacterial small subunit ribosomal RNA", at positions 338 to 795 of the family's 1533-position model. The record is from RNAcentral.